This 373-nucleotide ribosomal RNA is filed under the name uncultured Glomeromycotina. Its description in RNAcentral is "LSU rRNA". Lineage: Eukaryota; Fungi; Glomeromycota. The record is from RNAcentral.
UUGAAAGGGAAACGAUUGAAGUCAGUCGUACCGACGAGAAAUCAGCUCUUUGAGUGUGGACUUGUGGGCGUGCGUGAGCUUUACGGUCUCGCUGUUUGCAAUGUUUGUUCUUUUUGGGUGUACUUUUUCGUAUGGUUGGCCAACAUCAGUUUCGAUCACUAUAAAAUGACUGGCGGAAUGUAGCUUCGAUUUCGGUUGAAGUGUUAUAGCCUCCGGUAGAUGUGGUGAUUGGGACUGAGGAUUGCAACGAAUAUCCUUUGGGCUAUCCGUCUGGCCUCUGAAAGUUGCUUGGGUGCUGAAAGCUUGCUUAUGGUCAUCGAAAGUGAUCGUCAAAAGGUUAGAACGGGUUAAAUUCGUUAAGGAUGUUGACGUA